AGAGUUUGAUCCUGGCUCAGAACGAACGCUGGCGGCGUGCCUAACACAUGCAAGUCGAGCGGGAACGGUCCCUUCGGGGGCUUAGUACAGCGGCGCACGGGUGAGUAACACGUAGGUGACCUACCUCUUGCUGGGGAACAACUCCGGGAAACCGGAGCUAAUUCCGCAUAAGCCUGCCGGAUCGCGGUCCGGCAUGGAAAGGUGGCCUCUUCAUGAAAGCUAUCGGCGAGAGAUGGGCCUGCGCACCAUUAGCUUGUUGGCGGGGUAAUGGCCCACCAAGGCUACGAUGGUUAGCUGGUCUGAGAGGAUGAUCAGCCACACUGGAACUGAGACACGGUCCAGACUCCUACGGGAGGCAGCAGUGGGGAAUAUUGCGCAAUGGGCGAAAGCCUGACGCAGCAACGCCGCGUGAGUGAUGAAGGCCUUCGGGUCGUAAAGCUCUGUCGGGAGGAACGAAUACCCGUCGGGAACAAUACCUCGGCGGUUUGACGGUACCUCCAAAGGAAGCACCGGCUAACUCCGUGCCAGCAGCCGCGGUAAUACGGAGGGUGCAAGCGUUGUUCGGAAUUACUGGGCGUAAAGCGCGUGUAGGCGGACUUGGAAGUCGGGUGUGAAAGCCCUGGGCUUAACCCAGGAAGUGCGCUCGAAACCACAAGUCUUGAGGUCCGGAGGGGAUCGGGGAAUUCCUGGUGUAGAGGUGAAAUUCGUAGAUAUCAGGAGGAACACCGGCGGCGAAGGCGCCGAUCUGGACGGAUUCUGACGCUGAGACGCGAAAGCGUGGGUAGCAAACAGGAUUAGAUACCCUGGUAGUCC
This 813-nucleotide ribosomal RNA is filed under the name uncultured bacterium. RNAcentral describes it as "bacterial SSU rRNA". It matches the Rfam family "Bacterial small subunit ribosomal RNA", at positions 8 to 796 of the family's 1533-position model. The record is from RNAcentral.